Phascolarctos cinereus (koala) is the source of this 621-nucleotide non-coding RNA. NCBI's taxonomy places the organism in Eukaryota, Metazoa, Chordata, Mammalia, Diprotodontia, Phascolarctidae. The record is from RefSeq and is a predicted model, not a curated record.
UUGCAGCUACCAGAAAGUCAUUAAGGCAUUAGUUUGCCUAAGAAGACAGAUCUGAAGGAAAUUGGAGAAAAGGAAAAAAUGAAAAAUUCAAGGUGCUCCUCCAGCAGAAGAUCUCCAUGAGUUGUUUGUUGUGGCUGAAAAAUGAACCAUCCUGAGGUUAUGUCCAGGACAGGCCUCUUGGCACUAAGGUUCUCAGCUAUUACAAAAAGUGUUGUUAUAAAUAUUUUGGUAUAUAUGGAAACCUUCUUAUCAGUGACUUCCUUGGGGCAGAAGUUUAGCAGUGCAGUCUCUGGGUCAAAAGGCUGUACUUCAGAUUUUCUUCACCAAGCCCCAGAAACCUCUUCUUCAUCUUAGAAGUUCAGUCCAGCCCUGGAAUUCACGCACUGGAAGUAGCCUCUAUCCCUGCGCUCCUCUGAUUGGAUGGCACUGCCCAGAACCUCCGUUUAAGGAAGGUGGCCCGGCCAGCGGCUGUCUUCGUUCCUCUCCAGCCUGUAUUCAAGACUUUCUUUAUCAAGCUGGUGCCUAGUAGGCCCACCCCCACCCCUCAUCCGAUUCCACCAUAAGAAUGUUAGCUUCUUGAGGGCAGAGACUGUAUUUCUGCUUGUAUCUGUAUGCCUUGUG